This is a transfer RNA of Camelus ferus (Wild Bactrian camel), 72 nucleotides long. It matches the Rfam family "tRNA". From Rfam's summary of the family: Transfer RNA (tRNA) molecules are approximately 80 nucleotides in length. Lineage: Eukaryota; Metazoa; Chordata; Mammalia; Artiodactyla; Camelidae. The record is from Rfam.
AGGGUAGUAGCUCAGUGGUAGAAUGUGUGCCUAGCAUGCACAGGGUCCUGGGUUCAAUCCCCAGUGCCUCCA